Molecule: ribosomal RNA, 463 nt
Filed under: uncultured bacterium
Lineage: Bacteria
Description: bacterial SSU rRNA
Rfam family: Bacterial small subunit ribosomal RNA
Source: RNAcentral
GGACGAACGCUGGCGGCGUGCUUAACACAUGCAAGUCGAGCGAUGAAAUUCUUCGGAAGUGGAUUAGCGGCGGACGGGUGAGUAACACGUGGGUAACCUGCCUCAUAGAGGGGAAUAGCCUUUCGAAAGGAAGAUUAAUACCGCAUAAGAAGUAGAAGUCGCAUGGCUUUAGCUUUAAAGGAGCAAUCCGCUAUAAGAUGGACCCGCGUUUGAUUAGCUGGUUGGUGGGGUAACGGCCUACCAAGGCGACGAUCAAUAGCCGACCUGAGAGGGGUGACCGGCCACAUUGGGACUGAGACACGGCCCAAACUCCUACGGGAGGCAGCAGUGGGGAAUAUUGCACAAUGGGCGAAAGCCUGAUGCAGCGACGCCGCGUGAGCGAAGAAGUAUUUCGGUAUGUAAAGCUCUAUCAGCAGGGAAGAUAAUGACGGUACCUGACUAAGAAGCACCGGCUAAAUACGUG